GGCCCCAUCGUCCAUGGGUAGGAUGCGAGAUUUUCACUCUCGCGAACAGGGUUCGAGUCCCUGUGGGGCUA
This 71-nucleotide transfer RNA is filed under the name Armatimonadota bacterium. RNAcentral's name for it is "Armatimonadetes bacterium tRNA-Glu". It matches the Rfam family "tRNA". From Rfam's summary of the family: Transfer RNA (tRNA) molecules are approximately 80 nucleotides in length. RNAcentral also lists the same sequence under 1 other name. Lineage: Bacteria; Bacillati; Armatimonadota. The record is from RNAcentral.